Molecule: ribosomal RNA, 230 nt
Filed under: uncultured bacterium
Lineage: Bacteria
Description: partial 16S ribosomal RNA
Rfam family: Bacterial small subunit ribosomal RNA
Source: RNAcentral
GAUCAUGGCUCAGGAUGAACGCUAGCUACAGGCUUAACACAUGCAAGUCGAGGGGCAGCAUGGUCUUAGCUUGCUAAGGCCGAUGGCGACCGGCGCACGGGUGAGUAACGCGUAUCCAACCUGCCUUACACUCUUGGACAGCCUUCUGAAAGGGAGAUUAAUACAAGAUGUUAUCUUAAGCACACAUGUAAUUAAGAUUAAAGAUUUAUCGGUGUACGAUGGGGAUGCGU